Molecule: small RNA, 252 nt
Filed under: Pan troglodytes (chimpanzee)
Lineage: Eukaryota; Metazoa; Chordata; Mammalia; Primates; Hominidae
Source: RNAcentral
GCCGAGCGCGGUGGCUCACGCCUGUAAUCCCAGCACUUUGGGAAGCUGAGGCGGGUGGAUCACCUGAGGUUAGGAGUUCGAGACCAGCCUGGCCAACAUGGUGAAACCCCAUCUCUACUAAAAAUGCAAAAAUUAGGCUGGGAGUGGUGGCUCACGCCUGCAAUCCCAGCACUUUGGGAAGCUGAGGUGGGUGGAUCACCUGAGGUUAGGAGUUCGAGACCAGCCUGGCCAACAUGGUGAAACCCCAUCUCU